GACGUACGCUGGCGGCGUGCCUAAUACAUGCAAGUAGAACGCUGAAGGAGGAGCUUGCUUCUCUGGAUGAGUUGCGAACGGGUGAGUAACGCGUAGGUAACCUGCCUGGUAGCGGGGGAUAACUAUUGGAAACGAUAGCUAAUACCGCAUAAUAGUAGAUGUUGCAUGACAUUUGCUUAAAAGGUGCAAUUGCAUCACUACCAGAUGGACCUGCGUUGUAUUAGCUAGUUGGUGGGGUAACGGCUCACCAAGGCGACGAUACAUAGCCGACCUGAGAGGGUGAUCGGCCACACUGGGACUGAGACACGGCCCAGACUCCUACGGGAGGCAGCAGUAGGGAAUCUUCGGCAAUGGACGGAAGUCUGACCGAGCAACGCCGCGUGAGUGAAGAAGGUUUUCGGAUCGUAAAGCUCUGUUGUAAGAGAAGAACGAGUGUGAGAGUGGAAAGUUCACACUGUGACGGUAUCUUACCAGAAAGGGACGGCUAACUACGUG
This 495-nucleotide ribosomal RNA is filed under the name uncultured bacterium. RNAcentral's name for it is "partial 16S ribosomal RNA". It matches the Rfam family "Bacterial small subunit ribosomal RNA", at positions 28 to 507 of the family's 1533-position model. The record is from RNAcentral.